RNAcentral lists this ribosomal RNA (449 nucleotides) under uncultured prokaryote. RNAcentral's name for it is "bacterial SSU rRNA". It matches the Rfam family "Bacterial small subunit ribosomal RNA", at positions 355 to 796 of the family's 1533-position model. The record is from RNAcentral.
UGGGGAAUAUUGCACAAUGGGGGAAACCCUGAUGCAGCCAUGCCGCGUGUAUGAAGAAGGCCUUCGGGUUGUAAAGUACUUUCAGCAGUGAGGAAGGUGGUGUCGUUAAUAGCGGCAUUGCUUGACGUUAGCUGCAGAAGAAGCACCGGCUAACUCCGUGCCAGCAGCCGCGGUAAUACGGAGGGUGCGAGCGUUAAUCGGAAUUACUGGGCGUAAAGCGCAUGCAGGCGGUCUGUUAAGCAAGAUGUGAAAGCCCGGGGCUUAACCUCGGAACUGCAUUUUGAACUGGCAGACUAGAGUCUUGUAGAGGGGGGUAGAAUUUCAGGUGUAGCGGUGAAAUGCGUAGAGAUCUGAAGGAAUACCGGUGGCGAAGGCGGCCCCCUGGACAAAGACUGACGCUCAGAUGCGAAAGCGUGGGGAGCAAACAGGAUUAGAUACCCCCGUAGUCC